UGGAACAGUUGUCGAGCCGACUCCAGAAAAGCAUGAGUCGACUCCUGCUACAGCCGAGUCGACUCCAGAUCGCGCGAGUCGACUCCGAUCCCAACGGGAACUUUGUCAGGAGUUGCAGACUGUGCACAACGGCUCUAUUUUUCUCUCUAACGGCUAGAUUUCUGGUUCCACGACAUGUAAAGCUAUAAAAUCAAGAGGAGAGCUAGGGAAGACGGUAUGGAAGUGGGAGAAAAUAUUUAGGGAAGAGAUUACAAGGGAAAUCUCCCAUAAGCACAAAAAGGGCCAUUCAAAGUGAAAUAGAGAGAAGAAGAGCAUCCAAGUGAAUCCCAAAGCUUCCUCUUCAUCCGUGUGCUGCCUCGGUGAUCUUCUACUUUGGGCAAAAUCAGAAGAGGGUCAAGUAAAGAAGAAGCCGAGUUCCUCCAUCUACAAAUUUGUUUGAGGGCUUCUUCCCUUUACUUUACUUGUUUAUAUUUGCUAUAUUCG
Molecule: long non-coding RNA, 483 nt
Filed under: Phoenix dactylifera (date palm)
Lineage: Eukaryota; Viridiplantae; Streptophyta; Magnoliopsida; Arecales; Arecaceae
Description: long non-coding RNA (PDAC_LNC020971)
Source: RNAcentral